CCUACGGGAGGCAGCAGUAAGGAAUAUUGGUCAAUGGACGAAAGUCUGAACCAGCCAUGCCGCGUGAAGGAUGAAGGUCCUCUGGAUUGUAAACUUCUUUUAUAUGGGACGAAAAAAGGCUUUUCUAGGUCGUCUGACGGUACCAUAUGAAUAAGCACCGGCUAACUCCGUGCCAGCAGCCGCGGUAAUACGGAGGGUGCAAGCGUUAUCCGGAUUCACUGGGUUUAAAGGGUGCGUAGGUGGGCAGGUAAGUCAGUGGUGAAAUCCCCGAGCUCAACUUGGGAACUGCCAUUGAUACUAUCUGUCUUGAAUACCGUGGAGGUUAGCGGAAUAUGUCAUGUAGCGGUGAAAUGCUUAGAUAUGACAUAGAACACCGAUUGCGAAGGCAGCUGGCUACACGAAUAUUGACACUGAGGCACGAAAGCGUGGGGAUCAAACAGGAUUAGAUACCCUGGUAGUCCACGCCCUAAACGAUGGAUACUCGACAUAUGCGAUACACUGUAUGUGUCUGAGCGAAAGCAUUAAGUAUCCCACCUGGGAAGUACGACCGCAAGGUUGAAACUCAAAGGAAUUGACGG
Molecule: ribosomal RNA, 578 nt
Filed under: uncultured bacterium
Lineage: Bacteria
Description: bacterial SSU rRNA
Rfam family: Bacterial small subunit ribosomal RNA
Source: RNAcentral